CCAGCAGCCGCGGUAAUUCCAGCUCCAAUAGCGUAUAUUAAAGUUGUUGCAGUUAAAAAGCUCGUAGUUGGAUUUCUGGGAGGGCGCCAAUGUCCGCUCGUUCGCGUGUGCAGCGGCGCCCUUCCAUCCUUCUGUUAACGCUUCUUGGUAUUCAGUUACUGGUAGCGGGCUCAGAUAUUUUACCUUGAGAAAAUUAGAGUGUUCCAGGCAGGCUUGCGCCGGAAUACAUUAGCAUGGAAUAAUAGAAUAGGACUUUAGUCUCCUUUGUUGGUUUGAGGGACUGAAGUAAUGAUUAAUAGGGAUAGUUGGGGGCAUUAGUAUUUAAUUGUCAGAGGUGAAAUUCUCGGAUUUGUUAAAGACUAACUUAUGCGAAAGCAUUUGCCAAGGAUGUUUUCAUUAAUCAAGAACGAAAGU
Molecule: ribosomal RNA, 414 nt
Filed under: uncultured eukaryote
Lineage: Eukaryota
Description: SSU rRNA
Rfam family: Eukaryotic small subunit ribosomal RNA
Source: RNAcentral